CAGUCGCCGCGGGAAUACAGAGGAUGCAAGCGUUAUCCGGAAUGAUUGGGCGUAAAGCGUCUGUAGGUGGCUUUUCAAGUCCGCCGUCAAAUCCCAGGGCUCAACCCUGGACAGGCGGUGGAAACUACCAAGCUGGAGUACGGUAGGGGCAGAGGAAAUUUCCGGUGUAGCGGUGAAAUGCGUAGAGAUGUGGAGGAACACCAGUGGCGAAGGCGACUCUCUGGUCUGUAACUGACGCUGAGGAGCGAAAGCGUGGGGAGCGAACAGGAUUAGAUACCCCUGUAGUCCCUGUCUCUUAUAC
This 301-nucleotide ribosomal RNA is filed under the name uncultured bacterium. RNAcentral's name for it is "partial 16S ribosomal RNA". It matches the Rfam family "Bacterial small subunit ribosomal RNA", at positions 509 to 807 of the family's 1533-position model. The record is from RNAcentral.